UGGGGAAUUUUGCGCAAUGGGCGGAAGCCUGACGCAGCAACGCCGCGUGCGGGAUGAAGGCCUUCGGGUCGUAAACCGCUUUCAGCAGGGACGAUUAUGACGGUACCUGCAGAAGAAGCUCCGGCUAACUACGUGCCAGCAGCCGCGGUAAUACGUAGGGAGCGAGCGUUAUCCGGAUUCAUUGGGCGUAAAGCGCGCGUAGGCGGAUGCCUAAGCGGGACCUCUAACCCGGGGGCUCAACCCCCGGCCGGGUCCCGAACUGGGCGUCUCGAGUUCGGUAGGGGCAAGUGGAAUUCCAUGUGUAGCGGUGGAAUGCGCAGAUAUAUGGAAGAACACCGAUGGCGAAGGCAGCUUGCUGGGCCGUAACUGACGCUGAGGUGCGAAAGCGUGGGGAGCGAACAGGAUUAGAUACCCUGGUA
This 419-nucleotide ribosomal RNA is filed under the name uncultured bacterium. RNAcentral describes it as "bacterial SSU rRNA". It matches the Rfam family "Bacterial small subunit ribosomal RNA", at positions 355 to 792 of the family's 1533-position model. The record is from RNAcentral.